AGUCCUUGCCCACUGCACAGCUACCCUGCACAGCUACUAUAUACUACUCUUCCAAGGCUACUCUACCGUCUACUACUUAUACUAAACGGCACUUACUAGCGCUUGUACUCUACUGGUUUCAAAGAAUAUGGGUCUAAAAAGUAGCCGGAUAUCAGAACGGUGAUUCUACUGGGCCGUAGCGACAGACUAUGACUGUCACAGUGCAAUGGUGAACUGUUAUUACGAAGUCUAGGAGUUACAAUGCAUGUUUGUAGUCAUUUCUUUUUCUGACUUUUAUUUUUGUUCUGAAUUGUAAAAAAUAAUGAUAUUUUAUGUACAUGUAAAGCUUAUAUUAACCCCGUACUUACUACCCCUUUCAAA
Molecule: long non-coding RNA, 360 nt
Filed under: Amphimedon queenslandica
Lineage: Eukaryota; Metazoa; Porifera; Demospongiae; Haplosclerida; Niphatidae
Description: uncharacterized LOC109581076
Source: RNAcentral